UAGUCUCCAUUACUGUAGCUCUCUCUGCAUUUUUUCUUGCGUAGGCUUCGAAAAACUCCUUGUUCUCUUUCUCCAAUUCCUUCCACACUGUAUUCAAAAGCAAAUACAUACAUGUCUUUUCACACACGUGCUCGUACAUAUGUGUGUGCGUGUGUACAUAUGUGUGUGUGCGUGUGAAUAGACAUACGUGUGCCCGCGCGUGUGCGUCGGACUUGAAAAAGGCAACUGAUAUGAAGAAUAUGAUACGAUGUAGUAUUUAUUACCUGUUGAUGUGAUGACG
Molecule: long non-coding RNA, 280 nt
Filed under: Citrus x clementina
Lineage: Eukaryota; Viridiplantae; Streptophyta; Magnoliopsida; Sapindales; Rutaceae
Description: Citrus clementina (C. clementina) long non-coding RNA (CCLE_LNC001916)
Source: RNAcentral